This 253-nucleotide ribosomal RNA is filed under the name uncultured bacterium. Its description in RNAcentral is "partial 16S ribosomal RNA". It matches the Rfam family "Bacterial small subunit ribosomal RNA", at positions 524 to 776 of the family's 1533-position model. The record is from RNAcentral.
UACGGAGGGUGCAAGCGUUAUCCGGAAUUACUGGGCGUAAAGCGCACGUAGGCGGCUUUUUAAGUCAGGGGUGAAAUCCCGGGGCUCAACCCCGGAACUGCCCUUGAAACUGGGAGGCUAGAAUCUUGGAGAGGCGAGUGGAAUUCCGAGUGUAGAGGUGAAAUUCGUAGAUAUUCGGAAGAACACCAGUGGCGAAGGCGACUCGCUUGAAAAGUAUUGACGCUGAGGUGCGAAAGCGUGGGGAGCAAACAGG